GAGUUUGAUCCUGGCUCAGAUUGAACGCUGGCGGCAUACCUUACACAUGCAAGUCGAACGGCAGCACGGGAGCUUGCUCCUGGUGGCGAGUGGCGAACGGGUGAGUAAUGCAUCGGAACGUAUCCUGGAGUGGGAGAUAACGUAGCGAAAGUUACGCUAAUACCGCAUAUUCUGUGAGCAGGAAAGCGGGGGACCUUCGGGCCUCGCGCUCUUGGAGCGGCCGAUGUCGGAUUAGCUAGUUGGUGAGGUAAAGGCUCACCAAGGCGACGAUCCGUAGCAGGUCUGAGAGGAUGAUCUGCCACACUGGAACUGAGACACGGUCCAGACUCCUACGGGAGGCAGCAGUGGGGAAUUUUGGACAAUGGGGGCAACCCUGAUCCAGCCAUGCCGCGUGAGUGAAGAAGGCC
RNAcentral lists this ribosomal RNA (407 nucleotides) under bacterium enrichment culture clone ALO1_GLFRUDD03FP1WI. Its description in RNAcentral is "bacterial SSU rRNA". It matches the Rfam family "Bacterial small subunit ribosomal RNA", at positions 9 to 416 of the family's 1533-position model. The record is from RNAcentral.